Molecule: ribosomal RNA, 403 nt
Filed under: uncultured Anaerofilum sp.
Lineage: Bacteria; Bacillati; Bacillota; Clostridia; Eubacteriales; Oscillospiraceae
Description: bacterial SSU rRNA
Rfam family: Bacterial small subunit ribosomal RNA
Source: RNAcentral
GGGGAAUAUUGCACAAUGGGCGCAAGCCUGAUGCAGCGACGCCGCGUGAGCGAAGAAGGUUUUCGGAUCGUAAAGCUCUGUCCUUUGGGAAGAAGAAAAUGACGGUACUCGAGGAGGAAGCCACGGCUAACUACGUGCCAGCAGCCGCGGUAAUACGUAGGUGGCAAGGGUUGUCCGGAAUUACUGGGUGUAAAGGGAGCGCAGGCGGAACUGCAAGUUGGGUGUUUAAUCUACGGGCUCAACCCGUAUCAGCAUUCAAAACUGUGGUUCUUGAGUAAUGCAGAGGUAGGCGGAAUUCCCGGUGUAGCGGUGGAAUGCGUAGAUAUCGGGAGGAACACCAGUGGCGAAGGCGGCCUACUGGGCAUCAACUGACGCUGAGGCUCGAAAGCAUGGGUAGCAAACA